GUGCCAGCAGCCGCGGUAAUACAGAGGUGGCAAGCGUUGUUCGGAAUUACUGGGCGUAAAGGGCGAGUAGGUGGCCAUCUAAGUCAGACGUGAAAUCCCCCGGCUUAACCUGGGAACUGCGUCUGAUACUGGACGGCUAGAGUAUGGGAGAGGGAUGUAGAAUUCCAGGUGUAGCGGUGAAAUGCGUAGAUAUCUGGAGGAAUACCGGUGGCGAAGGCGGCAUCCUGGACCAUUACUGACACUGAACCGCGAAAGCUAGGGGAGCAAACGGGAUUAGAUACCCUCGUAGUCC
RNAcentral lists this ribosomal RNA (292 nucleotides) under uncultured bacterium. Its description in RNAcentral is "partial 16S ribosomal RNA". It matches the Rfam family "Bacterial small subunit ribosomal RNA", at positions 505 to 796 of the family's 1533-position model. The record is from RNAcentral.